AUGGGCUCCAGGCUGCUCUGUUGGGUGCUGCUUUGUCUCCUGGGAGCAGGCCCAGUAAAGGCUGGAGUCACUCAAACUCCAAGAUAUCUGAUCAAAACGAGAGGACAGCAAGUGACACUGAGCUGCUCCCCUAUCUCUGGGCAUAGGAGUGUAUCCUGGUACCAACAGACCCCAGGACAGGGCCUUCAGUUCCUCUUUGAAUACUUCAGUGAGACACAGAGAAACAAAGGAAACUUCCCUGGUCGAUUCUCAGGGCGCCAGUUCUCUAACUCUCGCUCUGAGAUGAAUGUGAGCACCUUGGAGCUGGGGGACUCGGCCCUUUAUCUUUGCGCCAGCAGCUUGG
Non-coding RNA from Homo sapiens (human), 343 nucleotides. Lineage: Eukaryota; Metazoa; Chordata; Mammalia; Primates; Hominidae. The record is from the annotation of a RefSeq genome assembly.